This 295-nucleotide ribosomal RNA is filed under the name uncultured bacterium. RNAcentral's name for it is "partial 16S ribosomal RNA". It matches the Rfam family "Bacterial small subunit ribosomal RNA", at positions 775 to 1067 of the family's 1533-position model. The record is from RNAcentral.
GGAUUAGAUACCCUGGUAGUCCACGCCGUAAACGAUGAGUGCUAGCUGUUGGAUCCUUGAGGUUCAGUGGCGCAGUUAACGCAUUAAGCACUCCGCCUGGGGAGUACGGUCGCAAGAUUAAAACUCAAAGGAAUUGACGGGGACCCGCACAAGCGGUGGAGCAUGUGGUUUAAUUCGAGGCAACGCGAAGAACCUUACCAGGACUUGACAUGCUGGUCGCGGAUCGUGGAGACACUUUCCUUCAGUUCGGCUGGACCAUGCACAGGUGCUGCACGGCUGUCGUCAGCUCGUGCCG